This 438-nucleotide ribosomal RNA is filed under the name uncultured bacterium. RNAcentral's name for it is "bacterial SSU rRNA". It matches the Rfam family "Bacterial small subunit ribosomal RNA", at positions 340 to 773 of the family's 1533-position model. The record is from RNAcentral.
UACGGAAGGCAGCAGUGGGGAAUAUUGCACAAUGGGCGCAAGCCUGAUGCAGCCAUGCCGCGUGUAUGAAAAAGGCCUUCGGGUUGUAAAGUACUUUCAGUCGUGAGGAAGGUGUUAAGGUUAAUAACCUUAGCAAUUGACGUUAGCGACAGAAGAAGCACCGGCUAACUCCGUGCCAGCAGCCGCGGUAAUACGGAGGGUGCGAGCGUUAAUCGGAAUUACUGGGCGUAAAGGGCACGCAGGCGGUUAAUUAAGUUGGAUGUGAAAUCUCGGGCUUAACCUGGGAAUGGCAUUCAAGACUGGUUAGCUAGAGUCUUGUAGAGGGGGUAGAAUUCCAUGUGUAGCGGUGAAAUGCGUAGAGAUGUGGAGGAAUACCGGUGGCGAAGGCGGCCCCUGGACAAAGGCUGACGCUCAUGUGCGAAAGCGUGGGGAGCAAAC